AAAUAAACUAAAAAACAAGAAUCUUUUUGGAUUUUUCAUUUAUAAUUUUUUUGGUUUUUCAAAUACAAAACAGGAAGUACGAUAACAAAAGAAUCAACAAACUCAACUAGACUAUGAUAGACUCUUACAUCAUCUAAAAGAUGCAAUACUACUGGACAAGACUGCAAAGUAAAAGACAAAUAUAAAAACAGACUCAAAACAUAAAAAAGCUCCUUAAGCAGCUCCUGAAUGCAGUGGUCCUGACUAGAUGGUCCUGGAGCGUCUUUCAUGCUUGAGCUUUAGUAAAUGGAUCCAUACCUGAAUGAAAAAAUAAGACCAAAUAGAGUUAGUGACUCAAGACACUAUGUGAGAUCAUAACGCUUCCUAAUGGGUACAUGUAAGGCACGAGUGGGGCUAUUUCUGCAAAAUAGCCAACGUGGCCAAAAGGUCGCUAGAAGUGAAAAAUCAAUUAGGACGACCUCUAAGACAUGGAAAAACAUCACGAAAGCCCAUAAACUCUUAGGAAUUGUGAUCCCUAAAAUUGCUUUACAAAAAUAACCCAACUUUGCAGAAAUGACCUAUGUGGCCAAAAAAAUGGCUAAGUAUGCAAAUUCAACGGGAGUGGACCUUAAACUAAGAGGAUGCCUUGUUGUGGACUUAGGAAUCUAAGACAUGAUUUAACAAGCCACUUUCAUAAAAUAGCCUUAUUUUUCAAAAAUAAAUGACUGAUGUGGCCAAAUGUGGCUAGACAUGCAAGAUUUGACUACGUCCCCUGAAGCCAAGAACUUAAGACUUACUAGGAAGACCGGACCCUAUGUGGGCUGCCUACGUAUCCCGCCCUGAAAGACGAGAAUCAGGUAUGCGUAGUUCGGGGGAUCGGAUAUUGGAGAAAGCUUUGAAAAAUGCAACUAAUUUGGAAAAACUAUUUUUUUGUCUUUUUUUGAAAAUGAUAAGAAAGUGUAAAAUCUUUUUUCUUUUUUAUUUUUUUUCUUUUUAGAUAACGAGGCAAGAAAACUAAAAGUGAUAAAACCUUCAAUAUUCUCUCUUACUUCAUUUUUCACCCUUCUUUCCCAAAUACCAGUCCGCCAAAUGAUCUUUAUACCCUCAAAGAUGCAACAUUUAGCACAUAGGAUGAUUGAAUGUCCUUUUGAGCCGGUGGACCCAUUUGACAUAAUUUGGACAGGCUUCCUACAAAGGAACACGAUACCUAGGACUGAGCCUUGCUAAGUCAUAAUGAUAUGAUGCACAUAGUAAUGACCUAAAGGCUGACCUAUGUUUGGGGUUCACUAACAAUCAAUUCGGGGCAGUGUAUGGUCGAUGGUGGCUGCUCAAGCUUUUCACCCACUCCAUGCAUCUGACGGCCUCCCAUCCUAAAAUAAGGGUAACUCAACAAAGAGUUCAUGUACGUAAUGCAUACUCUGAGACUUGUUGUAGAAAGAAUUAACUCAAGAUUAUGUAAAUGAUGACAAAUUAUAAAGCAGUAAAUACCUAAUUAAAAGCAAUAAACAAAUAAACAACAAAAUAGGAAAUAAAACAAACUAAAUAAAUAAACAAAGCAAAUAAAAAAACAAGUACCUCAACAAAAUAUUCUAACAAGUCAACAAGAUCAAGUACCAGCUCAAACCUGCAAUUCCCCAGCAGAGUCGCCAAAGAUUUCAUACCUUUUUUUCACCUCACUAGCCCCUUUAAAAUAGUAACAAGAUUUCUUAACCUCAAAAAUGUUUUUCAAAAUUGAAAAGUGACAAAAUUGUAUUUUUAAAAGAUUGUUCAGAGUCAUCACCUGGCAUUUGGUUUCAGUAUACCAGGUCACCAUUUAAAAAUAAUCUUUCGUUCAAAACACGUUUGACUCUAAAACUGACUACACCAGAAACCCAGAUAAGGGAGUUCAUUUGACUUGGGGAGAAAGUGUUAGGCAUUUUUCGAGUCCCGUAACUAGUACAGUUGCGUACAUAAUCAAAUUGCCUUUAUAGGAUGCUCAGAUUGAAGCAAAACACACAAAAAUUAAAAUAAACACAAGAGAGAUUCAAGGUCGUCCCCACCUAAAUGAAAGGAAAAGAAAAUAAAAGAAAAAUAAAAUAUUAAAAAUCCUAUACUAACCUAUACUAUGCUUCCUCCACGAUAUUCAUAAUGGCCGCCAAUUACAAAGUACUACGGGGCAUACCCUGGAUAAAAUUAUACACAAAAUAUGGGGGGCAUUCCCUUGAGUAUAGACUAAAGGGGAUGACCUUUCACCUUAACAACUAAAAUAUAACGUCCUAAAAUUUUGCCUAUCCGGCCAUUGUCGGCCUAAACAUGCCACUAGCAAUCAAAGCAAAUAAAUAAAAUUAAAAUAAGAGCGUGAUAAUCACUUAAAACCCAGUUUUUUUCCAGUUUCUAUUAUAUCCAACACCCGCAGCACAUUGGGUUAAGAUAAACAUUCAGCUUUUCUAUAUCAAUGGAACUAAUUGGGGAAAUUAGGCCUUAGUUCAUUCACACUCUUAUUAACUCAGCAUAUUGAUUCAAUUGGCUUUCCUCCAGCAAGAGUAGGUAUCAGCGCACAUUAAUAACAUAUCUAAUCUAAUCAAAUAACACCUACAUAAAAAAUUCAAGGAACAGAAGACCACCAUAUUGCAUUCAAUCUCCAUCCAACAUCAGAAUAUUCAUAUAACCAUGCCAAAUAAAGUGUCAGGUGUUUAUAAAAUUUAAAAGGAACAAAUAAAUAGGGAAAGAGUUUUGACCUUUAAUCUGAAACGGAGUUUUGAAUCAGCCUUCGAACUGGAGCUUGACCAACGACCUCAAAUAACACCUCAACGGACCCAACAACCCUGAAGAAUGCUUAUUUCGGUAAGGCUCAAACAUUCAAAACAAAACCAGUAACUUGGACCAAUUUUCUAGUCUAUGAGUGUGCCUGAGCUUAAGACAAUUGAAAUAGGAACGAACAGAUUGUGGAUCUAUGUGUUCAGGUUACAUUUUCAAGUGGUUUAAGACAAAUGAAAAAGAAAGUUAUGUGAGCAGGUGUGUUGUUGGUUAGUUUUCAUGGUAAAAUAGUCGUUGUUGGUAGUGUAAUGGAGAAAUGGUGUCACAUGGCAACGUUAAUGGGGAAAGAAAGUCAUGAAGAUGGCAUUUUCGGAAAAUUAUCUUCCUCUAUGUCACUCUCCAGAACUUUCUCUACCUGUGUCUAUCUCUAUCCGUCUAGAUGUGACAAAUCCGGCGUCGCUACCAUAGCGAGUAACACCAGAACGACGCUAGGGGGAACAAAGCUCAAAGGGUCGCCGAAGUAUGAAAGUUCGGCCAGAUCUGGUUUCGUCCUGUAUGUUUCCGAUUGACAUGGCAGCGAGAGGAGAAAGGGAAGAGUGAUGAGAGGGGAAGAGGGUGAUGGUGUAGGGCAAUCAUUGGCCACUGGUGAUGAUAUCCAGCGGCUGUGUUGUGCUCAGUUACUAGGGUUCCUUCUUUUUCUGUUAUAAUUGGUUUUAUAUACUAACUU
RNAcentral lists this long non-coding RNA (3442 nucleotides) under Nicotiana tabacum (common tobacco). RNAcentral describes it as "long non-coding RNA (NTAB_LNC001858)". The record is from RNAcentral. Lineage: Eukaryota; Viridiplantae; Streptophyta; Magnoliopsida; Solanales; Solanaceae.